This 107-nucleotide non-coding RNA is filed under the name Bacillus coahuilensis. Its description in RNAcentral is "SAM-I sequence". It matches the Rfam family "SAM riboswitch aptamer (S box leader)". Rfam says of the family: The SAM riboswitch is found upstream of a number of genes which code for proteins involved in methionine or cysteine biosynthesis in Gram-positive bacteria. The SAM riboswitch acts at the level of transcription termination control. The predicted structure consists of a complex stem-loop region followed by a single stem loop terminator region. The record is from RNAcentral. Lineage: Bacteria; Bacillati; Bacillota; Bacilli; Caryophanales; Bacillaceae. RNAcentral also lists the same sequence under 1 other name.
UUCUUAUCAAGAGCAGGUGGAGGGACUAGCCCUUUGAAGCCCGGCAACCGACCUAAUGUAUUAGGCACGGUGCUAAUUCUUGCAGCAAGUAUGCUGAGAGAUAAGAG